ACCUGGCUGGACUAAGUACUGAGUACUCUGCUCUGUUUGGGGUCCCCUGCAGACACCCCCCCAUAAGAGGGAGCGAGGUUCAAGCUCUGCCCAGCCCUAUCUCCCCCUUCUAGAGGACCUGACAUUAGGUGUCCUCCAACCUGUUGAGGACAGAGUCCAGCAGUGCUGGGGUUCCAAGUGACAGAGAUGACCCCCCCCCAUCAUCCCAGCUGGGGUCUCGGCAACCCCCUGAAGCAGUCUUUGGUGGGGUGCUGCCUCAUUUUCCUCGCACCCCCAGUCCUGACGGGGCAGACUGGGGUCACAUGGAGCCUGGUGUCCCCUGCUUAGUGACUGCCGGUCCUGAGCCCCAGACCUGGGGGGGGGGGUCCUGUAUGCCUAUCAGGCAACCCAGCCUGCUGCCCGCUGUGGGGGUGGUGGCUUGCCGGCCUGGGGUGCAGGUGGCUGGCGUCGGCGCGGGUUGGCAAGCCCAGGUGCCCAUGUGACUGUCCACGUGCCCCCGGGGACUGGCCCGUGGUGACUGUCUAAAGAUACCCUCGGGUUUCGCAAUGGCAGGUCUGCCCGCCCCCGCCCACCCGCCGGGCAUUCCCUGGCGUCCUAUAACUAUCAGGGGGAGCAGGCUGCGGUGGCACUUGGCGCGAGGCUGGGCCAGGGGUGUCUCUGCGGGCCACCCCCCUGCCCGGCUGGGUGCCCUGUG
Molecule: long non-coding RNA, 694 nt
Organism: Erinaceus europaeus (western European hedgehog)
Lineage: Eukaryota; Metazoa; Chordata; Mammalia; Eulipotyphla; Erinaceidae
Exons: 3
Source: RefSeq, a predicted model, not a curated record